Molecule: ribosomal RNA, 270 nt
Filed under: uncultured bacterium
Lineage: Bacteria
Description: partial 16S ribosomal RNA
Rfam family: Bacterial small subunit ribosomal RNA
Source: RNAcentral
AGCGAACGCUGGCGGCAUGCUUAACACAUGCAAGUCGCACGGUCGGAGCAAUCCGGCAGUGGCGGACGGGUGAGUAACGCGUAGGUAUUUGUCCAAGGGUGGGGGAUAACGCCGGGAAACUGGUGCUAAUACCGCAUGAUGACCGAGGUCCAAAGGUCGCAAGACCGCCCAUGGAGGAGCCUGCGUCCGAUUAGCUUGUUGGUGGGGUAAUGGCCUACCAAGGCUUUGAUCGGUAGCUGGUCUGAGAGGAUGAUCAGCCACACUGGGACU